This 758-nucleotide ribosomal RNA is filed under the name uncultured bacterium. RNAcentral describes it as "bacterial SSU rRNA". It matches the Rfam family "Bacterial small subunit ribosomal RNA", at positions 76 to 820 of the family's 1533-position model. The record is from RNAcentral.
CUCUUCGGGGAUGAUUAAACCGGCGCACGGGUGAGUAACACGUGAGUGACCUGCCUUUUAGACUGGAACAACUUACCGAAAGGUGAGCUAAUGCCGGAUGAGUUAUAUAAGUGCAUGUUUAUAUAGGAAAAGUUGGGGAGACCUGACGCUGAAAGAUGGACUCGCGUCCCAUUAGCUAGUUGGUAGGGUAAUGGCCUACCAAGGCGACGAUGGGUAGCCGGCCUGAGAGGGUGGCCGGCCACACUGGGACUGAGACACGGCCCAGACUCCUACGGGAGGCAGCAGUGGGGAAUUUUGCGCAAUGCUCGUAAGAGUGACGCAGCGACGCCGCGUGAAUGACGAAGGCCUUCGGGUCGUAAAGUUCUUUCGACAGGGAAGAAAAUGCCUAUAAGUAACUGUGUAUGUAUUGACGGUACCUGUAUAAGCAGCCCCGGCUAACUCCGUGCCAGCAGCCGCGGUAAUACGGAGGGGGCGAGCGUUGUUCGGAGUGACUGGGCGUAAAGAGCACGUAGGCGGUGUUGUAAGUCAUUAGUCAAAGACAAGAGCUCAACUUUAGUAAGGCUAGUGAUACUAUAAUACUAGAGUAUCAGAGAGGAUUGCAGAAUUCCUGGUGUAGCGGUGAAAUGCGUAGAUAUCAGGAGGAAUACCGUUAGCGAAGGCGGCAAUCUGGCUGGAAACUGACGCUGAGGUGCGAAAGCGUGGGUAGCAAACAGGAUUAGAUACCCUGGUAGUCCACGCUGUAAACGAUGGAUGCUAGG